Chlorocebus sabaeus (green monkey) is the source of this 272-nucleotide non-coding RNA. It matches the Rfam family "Metazoan signal recognition particle RNA". From Rfam's summary of the family: The signal recognition particle (SRP) is a universally conserved ribonucleoprotein. It is involved in the co-translational targeting of proteins to membranes. The eukaryotic SRP consists of a 300-nucleotide 7S RNA and six proteins: SRPs 72, 68, 54, 19, 14, and 9. NCBI's taxonomy places the organism in Eukaryota, Metazoa, Chordata, Mammalia, Primates, Cercopithecidae. The record is from Rfam.
ACCUAUAGUCUCAGCUACUCAGGAGGUUAAGGCAGGAGGAUCACUUGAGCCCAGGAGUUCUGGGCUGUAGUGCGCUAUGCUGACCCACUAAAUUCUGCAUCAGUAUAGCGACCUCCUGGGAGUAGGGGACCACCAGGUUGCCUAAGGAGGGGCGAACAGGUCCUGGUCAGAAAAAGAGCAGGUGAAAGCUCCUGGGCUGAUUAAUAGUGGGAUAGCACUUGCGAAUAGCCACUGCACUUCAGCCUGGGCAACAUAGCAAGACUUUGUCUCUU